GAUAAACAUGGAUUGGGUUUUCAGGAGGAGUCACUGGGACAAUAAAAAUUACUUGGAAAUCAGAAAGACCAGCAGGCGUUCCUCAGUGGCCCCUGACUAAAAAAAAAGAUACAAGCAGCCCAUGACCUGGUCAAACAACAAUUAGUGGAGGGACAUAUACAACCUUCUGUAUCUCCCUAUAAUACUCCCAUUUUUGUCAUCAAAAAGAAAUCUGGUAAAUGGAGAUUAUUGCAAGAUUUAAGAGCUAUUAAUAAUGAGAUGGUUAUCAUGGGACCUGCUCAAUCAGGGAUUCCUCGAUUAUCUGCUUUGCCAAAAACCUGGUAUGUUUUAGUUAUAGAUAUUAAAGAUUUUUUUUUUCCAUUCCAAUUCAUCCUGAGGAUAGUCCACAUUUUGCAUUUACUGUCCCUGCGCUGGAUCAUGAGGGUCCAGAUCAGCGAUAUGAAUGGAAAGUACUCCCUCAAGGGAUGGCUAACAGCCCAACUAUGUGUCAAAUUUAUGUUAACAAAGAAAUCCAGCCACUUAGAAAUCAAAAUCCUGAACUACAAAUAUUUCACUAUAUGGACGAUGUAUUAUUAGCACACAAAGAUAAAAACACAUUGCUAGAAUGUUAUGCCACACUUACAAACUUAUUAAAAAAUUAUAAUCUAGAGAUAGCAAUAGAUAAAGUACAAUUAAAUUUUCCAAUUA
Molecule: long non-coding RNA, 687 nt
Filed under: Marmota monax (woodchuck)
Lineage: Eukaryota; Metazoa; Chordata; Mammalia; Rodentia; Sciuridae
Source: RNAcentral